Numida meleagris (helmeted guineafowl) is the source of this 582-nucleotide long non-coding RNA. RefSeq lists it as uncharacterized. The record is from RefSeq and is a predicted model, not a curated record. Lineage: Eukaryota; Metazoa; Chordata; Aves; Galliformes; Numididae. The transcript has 3 exons.
AGGUUACCUCUGCACAUGUCAGUCUCUGCUAGCCAAGAGUGCCAUGCAUUAUCACUGAAAGAGGCUGUGUAUGAGGAUUUAUGUGACUAGAGGUUGUACAUAAGCAUCAGUAAUCAUGAAGGAAGCUGCUCACUGACUUGAGCAAGGACAGCAGAAUCAGACUUAUUCCCCUAGCUUCACUUUGCAGAAAAAGAGAUGGCAAAAGAAGGCUACAGGACAGAAGAGGACAUUUUCAGUGUAUAAACAAACUCAGACUACUCUGUCACUUCAACCCACUGUGGGUGGCAAGAGAAAGCAAAGCCUUGGGAGUCAGCUGCAGCCAUCUGUCUCGAAGGUGCAGCUGGUGAUGAGUUGCUGAUGUUAAUGAAAUGGGAUUGCUCAGUGCUGUUGAUUUACUACAGUUAGUGUAUCUAAUUCUGAUUCAUGCUACCAUUAUGGCUACCAUGCCUUGAAGGCAGCAGGCAGUGUUCACAGUGAUUGUUGGUAGUGAUAAUAAGACUUAGGACACAAGUGGUUCAAAAAAGGUGUGAAAAGCGGUAAAUUCAGUGCGUUUAUUUAGACUGUUUUGUGCUUGAAAUGCCA